RNAcentral lists this ribosomal RNA (473 nucleotides) under uncultured bacterium. RNAcentral's name for it is "bacterial SSU rRNA". It matches the Rfam family "Bacterial small subunit ribosomal RNA", at positions 56 to 524 of the family's 1533-position model. The record is from RNAcentral.
UGCAAGUCGAGCGGCAGCGGGUCCUUCGGGAUGCCGGCGAGCGGCGGACGGGUGAGUAAUGCCUAGGAAUCUGCCUGGUAGUGGGGGAUAACUCGGGGAAACUCGAGCUAAUACCGCAUACGUCCUACGGGAGAAAGCGGGGGAUCUUCGGACCUCGCGCUACCAGAUGAGCCUAAGUCGGAUUAGCUAGUUGGUGAGGUAAAGGCUCACCAAGGCGACGAUCCGUAGCUGGUCUGAGAGGAUGAUCAGCCACACUGGAACUGAGACACGGUCCAGACUCCUACGGGAGGCAGCAGUGGGGAAUAUUGGACAAUGGGCGAAAGCCUGAUCCAGCCAUGCCGCGUGUGUGAAGAAGGUCUUCGGAUUGUAAAGCACUUUAAGUUGGGAGGAAGGGCAGUAAGCUAAUACCUUGCUGUUUUGACGUUACCGACAGAAUAAGCACCGGCUAACUUCGUGCCAGCAGCCGCGGUAAU